Molecule: ribosomal RNA, 208 nt
Filed under: uncultured bacterium
Lineage: Bacteria
Description: partial 16S ribosomal RNA
Rfam family: Bacterial small subunit ribosomal RNA
Source: RNAcentral
UGCGCAGGCGGUCUGCUAAGUCGGAUGUGAAAGCCCCGGGCUUAACCUGGGAAUUGCAUUCGAUACUGGCAGACUAGAGUCUGGUAGAGGUAAGCGGAAUUCCGGGUGUAGCGGUGAAAUGCGUAGAUAUCCGGAGGAACAUCAGUGGCGAAGGCGGCUUACUGGACCAAGACUGACGCUCAGGCACGAAAAGCGUGGGUAGCAAACA